AAGGUGUGAUGAAUUAGUUAAUUAUUUUUAAUCUAUUGACAGCCCUUAUGUUUUCAUUAUUGACAUUUAUUUUUAAAAAGUACAAAAAUUCAGCACAUCAAACUUAUUGAUUUCUUAAACCAAGUUGUCCCUUACUUACUUUAAAGGAAGCCGUGUAUCAAAAAUCACAAAGAAAGAUCGUAAGAAGUCUGAAUGCAUCAUUGCAACAUCAGCGAUGUUUACAGGCUGCGUUUGGUUGAAGAAGGAUCGGAACCCCACAAAGAUCUUUGUGCCAACGGAAGUUUAUAGAAAAUUAAAGCAUCGAAGGAAUCAUCUGUCUGUUCUGCAAAACAACAAACCUAAAAAAAACAGGAACCCCAGGGAUUGAUUUGGGUGCACAUUUGCUCACCUCAGGAUAGGACAAAAUAACUGAGAAAGAAACUGAAGAACAAAGUAAAAUACAACUAGAACAUUACAGAACAUUGUAAAGGCCUGCUCUCGUAUUCAAGCUUAUUUUUCAUGCACCAGACUGAUGGGGGCAAAAAGCCCAUCUGGGUCUGUCUCCAGUGCUCAUUCAUCACAGACUCUGUCUCCCCAAGCUUUCUUUUUUCUUUUUCUAUUUGCUGCAGACAGCGAUGAGAGAAAGCCGACUGUGUGAUAAGAGGGAAAAAAGGCAACAAAAAAAAAAGCAAAUAUGAAGAGCUUAAGGACAGUAUAGAGGAACGUCUCGGCUGCCGACGCAGACCCUGCAACAAGCGGAGGCGUUUCCUGAUGCCGGAGUCGGCGCCUUAAUUCAGGGGAGGCGGACCGGGGGACGCCUGGCUGUCAAAGAGGCAUGCGGCGCGGAGCCUCCCUUGAGCCCCCCCCCCCCCCCCCCCAAUACAGCCAUGAUGAAGUGGCCUCAUCCAUCUUCUCGUUGUCCCCGGUAAAGAACGGGCUCGUUCGGCCGCUGAGCCGAUGACCGCCGCAAGCUUUUUUCUCUGGAAAAGGCCGGGACCCCUGUCUCUCCGCUCCGCGGACUGAGCCCUCGGCGUCAGCAACACGAGUCGCGCGAGGGUCCAGAUGCACAGG
Molecule: long non-coding RNA, 1050 nt
Organism: Gasterosteus aculeatus aculeatus (three-spined stickleback)
Lineage: Eukaryota; Metazoa; Chordata; Actinopteri; Perciformes; Gasterosteidae
Source: Ensembl